AUUGAACGCUGGCGGCAGGCCUAACACAUGCAAGUCGAACGAGAGGCGGACGGGUGAGUAAUGUCUGGGAAACUGACCGAUGGAGGGGGAUCACUACUGGAAACGGUAGCUAAUACCGCAUACCAUCGGAUGUGCCCAGAUGGGAUUAGCUAGUAGGGGGGGUAAAGGCGCACCUAGGCGACGAUCCCUAGCUGGUCGGAGAGGAUGACCAGCCACACUGGAACUGAGACACGGGCCAGACUCCUACGUGAGGCAGCAGUGGGGAAUAUUGCACAAUGGGCGCAAGCCUGAUGCAGCCAUGCCGCGUGUAGGAAGAAGGCCUUCGGGUUGUAAAGUACUUGCAGCGGGGAGGCGUUACCCGCAGAAGAAGCACCGGCGAACUCCGUGCCAGCAGCCGCGGUAAUUC
This 406-nucleotide ribosomal RNA is filed under the name uncultured bacterium. RNAcentral describes it as "partial 16S ribosomal RNA". It matches the Rfam family "Bacterial small subunit ribosomal RNA", at positions 29 to 526 of the family's 1533-position model. The record is from RNAcentral.